AGCAGCCACGGUAAUUCCAGCUCCAAUAGCGUAUAUUAAAGUUGUUGCAGUUAAAAAGCUCGUAGUUGAAUUUCGGGGUCAGUAGGCUGGUCGUGCCACCGGUACGUACUGGUCUCACUGAUUCCUCCUUCCUGAAGAACCGUAAUGCCAUUAAUUUGGUGUUGCGGGGAAACAGGACUGUUACUUUGAAAAAUUAGAGUGUUUAAAGCAGGCUAACGCUUGAAUACAUUAGCAUGGAAUAAUGAAAUAGGACGUUCGAUCCUAUUUUGUUGGUUUCUAGGAUUGACGUAAUGAUUAAUAGGGAUAGUUGGGGGCAUUAGUAUUCAAUUGUCAGAGGUGAAAUUCUUGGAUUUAUUGAAGACUAACUACUGCGAAAGCAUUUGCCAAGGAUGUUUUCAUUAAUCAAGAACGAAAGUUAGGGGAUCGAAGACGAUCAGAUACCGUCGUAGUCUUAACCAUAAACUAUGCCGACUAGGGAUCGGAUGAUGUUAAUUUUAUAAUGACUCAUUCGGCGCCUUAC
This 520-nucleotide ribosomal RNA is filed under the name uncultured Glomus. RNAcentral's name for it is "SSU rRNA". It matches the Rfam family "Eukaryotic small subunit ribosomal RNA", at positions 569 to 1091 of the family's 1831-position model. Lineage: Eukaryota; Fungi; Glomeromycota; Glomeromycetes; Glomerales; Glomeraceae. The record is from RNAcentral.